Long non-coding RNA from Melitaea cinxia (Glanville fritillary), 137 nucleotides. RefSeq lists it as uncharacterized. The record is from RefSeq and is a predicted model, not a curated record. The transcript has 2 exons. NCBI's taxonomy places the organism in Eukaryota, Metazoa, Arthropoda, Insecta, Lepidoptera, Nymphalidae.
GGGAGUGUUUUAACGUGACCGAGCUGACCGAAUACUUACUGUACCCAUAUGAUGAUGACUACUUCCUAGACCAAUAUUAUAUAAUGGAAGAUCACUGAACAAAUGUUAUAAAUAAAUAAAAAUAUUUUAUAUUGUUA